Molecule: ribosomal RNA, 206 nt
Filed under: uncultured bacterium
Lineage: Bacteria
Description: partial 16S ribosomal RNA
Rfam family: Bacterial small subunit ribosomal RNA
Source: RNAcentral
CGCGCAGGCGGCUGGUCAAGUCCGAUGUGAAAUCUCCCGGCUUAACUGGGAAACUGCAUCGGAAACUGAUCGGCUUGAAGGUGGGAGAGGGUAGUGGAAUUCCCGGUGUAGUGGUGAAAUGCGUAGAUAUCGGGAGGAGCACCAGUGGCGAAGGCGACUACCUGGCCCAUUCUUGACGCUGAGGCGCGAAAGCUAGGGGAGCAACG